Long non-coding RNA from Cyanistes caeruleus (blue tit), 1482 nucleotides. Lineage: Eukaryota; Metazoa; Chordata; Aves; Passeriformes; Paridae. The record is from Ensembl.
CGUGGGAAGCCUGGCAGCGCAUGGGACAGAACUCCUCUCAACACUGUCAGGCCACUUGCUUCCAAAUUCCCCUCCAGGAAGUGGGAUGGUGAGAGGAGAAGAGACUUGGUGCUUCCCAUCCCUGCUGAUGAAUGGAGCCAGGCUUUCUUCGGACUGCAAGUAAAUUCACUGGGCCAGAUGCUCAGGCCAAGCCCCAGGGCUGCUUGUUCCUAGGAGGGAAAGGUAGAAGAUUCCUGAGGUAGUUUUUUUUUAGUUUCUUUAUUUUGUGUUAUGGUGAAGUUCCUGUCUCGGAAGUGAUGCUUGUAUUUUAGUCUCCUUUUUCAGUGCAGAAAGCCAGAGGAUACAAGAGGGGAGCAUCAUUUUUAUGACAACAAGGAUGCAUCCUUUGCAAUUGUGACUUCCUUUGGCUGGGAUGUGGGAUGCUGUGGCCGUCCUGCUGUGUUUUCUGUCUUUAUCUGGGACAGCUGAAGGCAUUUGUGGCUGGAAGGUUUUCGGGACAGGGGCAGUUUGACACAGCAUGCGCAGCACAGAGGAGCAGCCUGACCUGCUCACAGCUCCAUGCGCUGCUGCUCUAAUGACAACCGUGAUUUUUCAUGCCUGUUAUUGGAAGAAGAAAGUAACUGUUUGCAGUAAGCCGCAUACUAAUCAGGAGCUUCUGGGGACCUUUACCUGUUCGUUUUCUUCUCCGAGUGACUUGCAUCUGAGCGGGACACUUUGCAGCCCCGAGCCGAUGUCAGCCCUGCCGGGCUCUGGCAUUUGUCACUCACUCAGAAGACGGGAGCUCAACUUAUUCUCCCAGCUGCCAAACAUUGUUCCUGCUACAGGAGGCUUUUGGUCCCAACCUUAGAGAAGCUGUCAGUGUUCUGGCUGCUAGGCAAUGCUUCUGCCAGCCCGGGGAUGAAAAAGGAAAGACGGAGUUGUCCAAGUCUCUGGCCAGAUAACGCCUGGAUUUCACCGCCACGUGGUGCAGCUGCUCAGCAGCUUAUGCAUGCAAACGCUGUUGAAAACCAAAGGGCCAUGGGAGAAAAGGAAGAAAAGUUUUGUUUCUCCUCUCUGCUUGUUUUUUGUCAUGCUGCUGUUCUCCUGCCCGGCUCCUCAGCUAUGUGGCAGAAUCGCUGCCAUUGCAAAUUAAUGUCCGUAGCCAGACAUAUGCUCAUGGCCUGGAAUGAAGUCGACUGCAAUUACAUCCUAAGGGAGUCACUCAACGGGGGUUUUGUGGAGGCAGGACUCAGGCUCUGGUGGAGCUGCACAUGUGCUGUUAGACCUCCAACUGCACUCGCUCUGCCUGCAGCUUUGUGGGAGCGAGGAGCAGCAGGCUCAGAAAUACAGCCAGUCUGGUGCACAUCUGGAGACAGUAAUUGGAGUGGGUACAGAGACAUGAGCUUUCAAUACCUGCAAAUUUCCAUCUGGUUUGUUAGCAGCACUCCUCAUGAAGGGGAUUAUGAAAAGUUGGAGAUGCUACAGUGUUUCAGACUCAUUUGA